AAGGAUUUAAGUUAAAUAAACUUUUAACCUUCAAAGUUAACAAUGGAUUAUGUCUAAGCCUUA
RNAcentral lists this transfer RNA (63 nucleotides) under Aphthona sp. EMHAU-15071309. Its description in RNAcentral is "tRNA-Trp". The record is from RNAcentral. Lineage: Eukaryota; Metazoa; Arthropoda; Insecta; Coleoptera; Chrysomelidae.